AGUUAAAUAGUUUAAAUUUAAAACACUAAUUUUGUAAAUUAAAAUUCAAUAAAUAUUGUUUAACUA
RNAcentral lists this transfer RNA (66 nucleotides) under Sceliphron madraspatanum. RNAcentral describes it as "tRNA-Thr". Lineage: Eukaryota; Metazoa; Arthropoda; Insecta; Hymenoptera; Sphecidae. The record is from RNAcentral.